This is a long non-coding RNA of Mercenaria mercenaria, 737 nucleotides long. RefSeq lists it as uncharacterized. The transcript is spliced from 2 exons. Lineage: Eukaryota; Metazoa; Mollusca; Bivalvia; Venerida; Veneridae. The record is from RefSeq and is a predicted model, not a curated record.
AUAUGAUGAGAAUGCCAGUGUUGAUCUGUAUGACUUAAUUAAACACAGAUAUUGAUACCUUCAGAUAUGUACCUGUGAAAUCUUCAGUGUCACCGUUCAGCUAUUGUUCAAGAUCAGUGUCUGCAGCUUGCACAGUUUAGCAUAGAGGAGCUUUCUGAAUCAAUUUUUGUUACAUAUUUGCUGUUAUUGUAGGACACACAUGUAGAGAGCAGGUUAAUUUCCUGAAGUUCCCUGUCAACUUUGAUAGUGGCAUGGUUACUUUAGAAACACUAAAGUGAUGUCACCACUGUACUAGUCAAACGUUUUGUAUUUCAGAUUUAUAUCACAUUACAGGCUACUGGUCUUUAGCAGCCUUCAUAAAACUUUCAUAAAAGUUUCCAAAAAUGUUGUAUUUUGAUUUGAGCUGGCAUUAUUCAAACAUUAAGAAGUAGUACUAUAAGGCAACAUUUGACCUCUUUUCCAGUACUUUUUGAUUUUCUCUGUUACUAUGAAGUUUCCUUUUCCUAGAAAUUAGUUGGCUUAUUUUUGAUCAUCUUAUGUUUUUAAUGAAUUGUAGCUAUAAUGUUCUUUAUCUCAUGAAAAUGUCCAUUUUUAUAUAAUUCAUAUUUUUUACUGUCAACUAAGUGCAAUACCACAUACUCAUAUCACUUUCAUUAACAUACUUGUACUAUUUUCAUAAAACAUUAUAUAAACCAUUAUAUUUCAUAUAAACAGAAUUAAAUAAAUAUUUAAGAACA